ACGCUCGACACCUACGUGAGGCAGCAGUGGGGAAUAUUGCACAAUGGGGGAAACCCUGAUGCAGCAACGCCGCGUGAAGGAAGACGGUUUUCGGAUUGUAAACUUCUGUUCUUAGUGAAGAUAGUGACGGUAGCUAAGGAGCAAGCCACGGCUAACUACGUGUCAGCAGCCGCGGUAAUCUGAGCGGGCUGGCAAGGC
This 198-nucleotide ribosomal RNA is filed under the name uncultured bacterium. RNAcentral describes it as "partial 16S ribosomal RNA". It matches the Rfam family "Bacterial small subunit ribosomal RNA", at positions 328 to 539 of the family's 1533-position model. The record is from RNAcentral.